UACUCGGUCAUUUUAUUUUCCAUCCGUUUAAGGGCUGCCACAUAAUUCUAGAACCUCACUUUCAUCUCCUUUCCAACUCUUUCACCUUCCAUUCAUCUUCUCAGCUUGGGUAUCGCAAUUUUAGGUAGACCUUUACCUCAAUUUUUGCUUUAAUCUUCUUCCAGUUCUUUCAAUUCAUCCUCCUCUCUCUUUCAAUCUUAUCCUAUAUACUUUUUUCCAAUGGCUUUCUUCCUAUUUCAUCAGCUUCUGGCUUGGAAUAUCUACCUUCAUCCGUCUUCUACUUUGAGUGUUGCAAGAUUCAGGUUAGUCUGUCAGGCUCAGCUAUUUUUUGUUUCAAUUUUUUUUCCUAUUUUGUUUUUCAUGUUUUGGUUGCUAUUCUUCUUUGUUGUUGAGGUCGACCAAGGGUAGAAUUGUCUUUGUACUCGGUCAUUUUAUUUUCCAUCCGUUUAAGGGCUGCCAUAUAAUUCUAGAACCUCACUUUUAUCUCCUUUCCAACUCUUUCACCUUCCAUUCAUCUUCUCAGCUUGGGUAUCGCAAUUUUAGGUAGACCUUUACCUCAAUUUUUGCUUUAAUCUUCUUCCAAUUCUUUCAAUUCAUCCUCCUCUCUCUUUCAAUCUUAUCCUAUAUACUUUUCUCCAAUGGCUUUCUUCCUAUUUCAUCAGCUUCUGGCUUGGAAUAUCUACCUUCAUCCGUCUUCUACUUUGAGUGUUGCAAGAUUCAGGAAUAGGUGCAAGAAGCUCUCAUCAUGAAGAUCAGGAAGAAUACAAGGUAGCGAAUGUUUCCAGCAAUGAGGAAAUCCUUGCAAUACUCUAUAUGGCUCUCAAUUGGACUAUGUAAUUUCUUUGUUCGUAGGAUAUGUAGCACUAAUAGCAACAUGAUACAUUUGAUUGAUCAUGUGGUAUAUAGAAUGAUAGGUAGGAGAUGAGCAAUUAGUCAUAAGCUUGGGUUUGAUGUAAAUGAUUUUAAAGGAAAAGCGCAACAAAAUGAAAUAUUUGCUCCAUUCUACACA
This is a long non-coding RNA of Nicotiana attenuata, 1009 nucleotides long. RefSeq lists it as uncharacterized. The record is from RefSeq and is a predicted model, not a curated record. The transcript is spliced from 2 exons. Lineage: Eukaryota; Viridiplantae; Streptophyta; Magnoliopsida; Solanales; Solanaceae.